This 1341-nucleotide ribosomal RNA is filed under the name uncultured Haloquadratum sp. Its description in RNAcentral is "bacterial SSU rRNA". It matches the Rfam family "Archaeal small subunit ribosomal RNA". The record is from RNAcentral. Lineage: Archaea; Methanobacteriati; Methanobacteriota; Halobacteria; Halobacteriales; Haloferacaceae.
UUUCCGGUUGAUCCUGCCGGAGGACAUUGCUAUUGGGAUUCGAUUUAGCCAUGCUAGUCGAACGAGUUCACACUCGUGGCACAUAGCUCAGUAACACGUGGCCAAGCUACCCUUCAGUCAGCAAUACCCUCGGGAAACUGAGGCUAAUAGCUGAUACGAAACAGACGCUGGAAUGCACUGUAUUCCAAAGACAUCGCUGAAGGAUGCGGCUGCGGCCGAUUAGGUAGACGGUGGGGUAACGGCCCACCGUGCCAGUAAUCGGUACGGGUGAUGAGAGUCAGAGCCCGGAGACGGAAUCUGAGACAAGAUUCCGGGCCCUACGGGCGCAGCAGGCGCGAAACCUUUACACUGCACGCACGUGCGAUAAGGGGACUCCGAGUGCGAGGGCAUAUCGUCCUCGCUUUCGUGUACCGUAGGGUGGUACACCAACAAGGGCUGGGCAAGACCGGUGCCAGCCGCCGCGGUAAUACCGGCAGCCCGAGUGAUGGCCGAUCUUAUUGGGCCUAAAGCGUCCGUAGCUGGCUGCGCAAGUCCGUCGGGAAAUCCACUCGCCCAACGAGUGGGCGUCCGACGGAAACUGCACAGCUUGGGACCGGAAGGCUCGAAGGGUACGUUCGGGGUAGGAGUGAAAUCCCAUAAUCCCGCACGGACCACCGAUGGCGAAAGCACUUCGAGAAAACGGAUCCGACAGUGAGGGACGAAAGCCAGGGUCUCCAACCGGAUUAGAUACCCGGGUAGUCCUGGCCGUAAACAAUGUUCGCUAGGUAUGACACAGACUACGCGUCUCUGUUGUGCCGUAGGGAAGCCGAGAAGCGAACCGCCUGGGAAGUACGUCUGCAAGGAUGAAACUUAAAGGGAUUGGCGGGGGAGCACUACAACCGGAGGAGCCUGCGGUUUAAUUGGACUCAACGCCGGACAUCUCACCAGCUCCGACUACAGUGAUGACGACCAGGUUGAUGACCUCAUCACGACGCUGUAGAGAGGAGGUGCAUGGCCGCCGUCAGCUCGUACCGUGAGGCGUCCUGUUAAGUCAGGCAACGAGCGAGACCCGCACCCCUAAUUGCCAGCAACAGUUUCGACUGGUUGGGUACAUUAGGAGGACUGCCAGUGUUAAACUGGAGGAAGGAACGGGCAACGGUAGGUCAGUAUGCCCCGAAUGAGCUGGGCAACACGCGGGCUACAAUGGCUAAGACAAUGGGUCGCUAUCUCGACAGAGAACGCUAAUCUCGAAACUUAGUCGUAGUUCGGAUUGAGGGCUGAAACUCGCCCUCAUGAAGCUGGAUUCGGUAGUAGCCGCCUUUCAGUAGAAGGCGACGAAUACGUCCCUGCUCCUUGUACACA